Molecule: long non-coding RNA, 5590 nt
Filed under: Nicotiana benthamiana
Lineage: Eukaryota; Viridiplantae; Streptophyta; Magnoliopsida; Solanales; Solanaceae
Description: long non-coding RNA (NBEN_LNC012788)
Source: RNAcentral
CCAUGUACAUGUAUCCAGAUUCUGCAACGUUCAUUCUAGGAGACCAUUCACUUCCUGUAUUAGCAAAACAAAAAGUGAAUUUUGAAACAUUCUGAAGAGGCUAUAUGUAACAGUCCAACCCACCAGUCAUAUUAUCUGCUUAGGAUUAAGACCCGCACGUCUUUAAAAUGUGUGAGUAGGGUCUAAGGUUAGUCUACUUAUAUACCCAACAUCUCUCGUGUUUUGUCGAUGUGGGAUUCAUUUGAAACAAAUGUCGCCAAUUCCCGCAAUCUUUGAGUAACUUGUAUUACCCAUUCUCACGGUGCCGAAAUUACCUGCUACAUAUCUACAAAAAAGAUCUCUUACCGGUGUGAUAUGGUAAGAUGCCACUGUGUCAACCACCCAUUCUGACUUUACACCUGACAGGUGCAUGCAUUCCUCUUCAUCAUUUAUAAAGAGGACAACAUUGUCAUUAUUUUGNNNNNNNNNNNNNNNNNNNNNNNNNNNNNNNNCAUGGUAAGAUGCCGCUGUGUCAACCACCCAUUCCGACUCUGGACCUGACAGGUGCAUGCAUUCCUCUUCAUCAUUUAUAAAGAGGACAACACUGUCAUUGUUUUGACCAUGGCAGCUGUGUUGUCGUCAUUCUUCUGGCCACUAGUUUCACCUUUGCCCUUCCUUGGAUUUGGGCAAUCUCUUUGAAGUGACCUGGUUGAUCACAAUUGUAACAAUUUCUGGCUUUUGACUUGGAACGAUUCUUUGACUUUCCACAAGCUCCGGAUCUACCAUAGUUGCUCGAACUCCUUUGAUAACUCCUGCCUCUACCUUCUGUGAUAGGAGCCUGUCCUUGAUUUUCAGGCUUCUUUCUCAACUUCUCAUUAAGUAAAAGAGCCGAUGUGACAUCUUUCAACUCAAUAGUAGUCUUACCAUGCAGGAUGGUUGUUGCCAAGUAUCGUAUGAAGAUGGCAACGAGUUCAAUAGCAAGAUGGCUUUAUUUUCCUCCUCGAUUUUUACUCCGAGGUUGGCAAGCUGUGUGAUUAGUCCGUUAAACACAUUUAAAUACGACAAAAAAUUCAUACCUUCACCCAUGUGUAGGGCGUAUAACUGCUUCUUCAGGUAGAAUUUAUUUGUCAGCGUUUUGGACAUGUAUAGGCUUUCCAACCUGGUCCAAAUUCCACGUGCAGUGUCUUCAUCAAUGAUAUUAUUUACCACAUCAUCCGAUAAGUCAACCUGAUUGCACUAGCAGCUCUUUCAUCCAAGUCAGCCCAAUACUCAGCUUUCAUGGUAUCAAGCUUUUUGGCAUCAGCAACUAGUACCUUGUGUAAUCCUUGUUGGAUGAGCAAAUCCCUCAUCCUUCUUUGUCAUGUUGAGAAACCGUUAUCUCCAUUGAAUUUUUCUACCUCGUACUUUACUCCGGAAAUUUUUAUUUUCACCGAGCAUAGUACUACCGAUAGUGAAUAGUAUUUCAGUGAACGAGCAGAACCUGUGUUCUGAUACCAGUUGUUAGGAAUAAACCCCCUACCAAAAUAAUAUCCACGGUAAUAAAAGCGGUAUAAUAAUGUAGCACCGAGAUACGGUAAUUAACAAGAAUAAAGGAGUAACAAUGACACCAAGAUUUUUACGUAGAAAACCCUUUUGAAUAAGGAAAAAAACUACGGCUCUGAGAGAAGUAACUGAUAUCACUAUAGUAAGGAAUUUUACACUUUGUAGUUCCGAGUAAAAUACUCCAAAGACCACUGCAACACUCACAAGAAAUAACCAUCUUUUGAUAUUUCCACCUUACUACAAUAUCGCUCACUCUCGAUUUUCUCACAGACUACUUUCUUAUACCUUGUCUGUGAAACCUCACUCUUUCUUUAUCUCUUUGUUGGUAUGUAAAAAUGAGAGUUGAAGCUCUCAUUUUAUAGCUAAAGCUUCACUCUCCAAAGCCUACAAUAUUUGACAAUUUACACACACUUUUCACAAAUUCAACAAAGUUGGCAACCAACCUAAAGAAAUUCAACAAUGUUGGCUACCAAACCAAACUAAUUCAAUAAAGUUGACUAUCUAUCCAAACCAAAUCAACAAGGUUGGCUCCCAAACCAAAAGAACUUUUAUUAGACACAUGCCUAAUACUUAUUUAAUGAGAUGAACAUCAUCCAUAAAUCUUAAACUCUGGCACCAUUGCUGCUGCCUCCUCCUGAUGAAUAAAUAGAUAAGCUUUUAAGUUUCAAGUAAAACAAAUUUGUUAAUAAAACAAUUUCACUUACGGAUGAAUCUUGCAAAUAUUAAACAACUUAUUUUUAAGGUUCAACUAUACCCUUAAUAUAAUGUUUGAAAUCUCUCGAAUUGAGUUUGACAUUAUAUCAAAUCAAAUUAUUUAGUUGAAAAUAACUUUUGCCGUUUUACUUGAUUUCUCACCUAUGAGGUUAGGAUUUAAAAGCGGAUUCGAAGAAAAGAAAAAAUGGUAAGUUCUAGAUAAGUGUUUACCUUCAAAUCGGAUAACAAUUAAAUUUGUACGAGAUCUUAAAAAUACAUGGUUUGAUUCAACACAAACGAUAAAAUAUAUAUAAGAUAAACGAAUUAAAGAUAAACUAAACGGUCGAACCAAUUGUGACAUCAUGGUCAAGCCUGAACUGAGAUCAAGCAAUGACCUUCUCCUAGAUCGGAUCCUCAACGAAGAACAUGUUAAGUGAAAAAGGAGUUUAAUAAUAGCUAAAAGAUAAAAAAUAAAUUUAUAUUACUUUGAUUUGUGUGUUAGGAAAAUCAAAAAGGGAAUUUCAUAUACUAGAACAAUUGGUAUUCAAUAUUCUCAGUCCAUGGAAUUCAUUUCUUGAUCUUUCUCAUAUUUACAAGGUUGAAGUCUUUUAUUGGUGUCACCGCCAAUAGUAAGUUAGUAAGAGUAACCCAAAGAAAAUUUGUCGAUAUGUAAUGUUCCCUUUAUGAUCCCAAUAAAAAUAAAAUGUUACGCGGUUUUUUUUAUUUGCCUCUGAUCACACCAAACUAUACCUCCUAAGAGGUCUAGCGGUCUUGUAAAUAUAAUCCAAUAUACAAGUUCGGAGUCGAAUCUAAUAGGAAAUUAACCUACUAAGUGGAAUCACUAGUUUCGCACGAAUUCAAGUAUUCAACUUUCAGAAAUAUUAAAUAACAAUUUGGACAAUUUCUCAAUCUAACAUGGUGUUAGAGCCAUGGAAUAGAUGAACCUCGAUCUGCUCAUUCGAUCGAUGGUACGCUCAUCGAGUUUCAUGGAGGAUUUCACAUCGUCGAGCUUUUUCUGUUUCCGCGCAUUAACCGUCAAGUUUUUGGAUUGUGGAGCUUCUUCAAGGGUGUUUAUCAUCUAUUGAGAAUUGUACGGUGUUUCUCCCGGUAAUCUACUGUUAUCGCCAGUGUUUACUCGAAUUUGCUGCUUUUGGUACCUACUUUCUUUGUUUAUUCAAGGUCUUACCUUCUUUACGUUGCAAAGAGGGACGGUAAUCUUCCUUUCGCCACUUCUGCGAGUUUCUAGUGUUGUUUGAUUAUAUCAGCAUUCCUAUUUUUAGAUUUUGCCUAUCUAGGGUUAUUCAUGGGUAGUCCAGAAGCUAGUUCCUCUCAUAUGUUAGAUAGUUUUAAUGAUUUUACUAUUUCUCCAUCUCAUUCAUUCUAUAUUUGUCCAUCUGAAAGUCCUGAUCUCUUAGAUGGUACUGAUAUUGCUGAAUUGACAGCCUUGAAACAGUUUUUGGAUGACCAAUUCAAGAUCAAAUACUUGGGUCUGGUCUAUUACUUUCUGGGUCUUGAGGGAGUGUUAACCAAAGCCCAACUGCAAUAUAGUCCAGGCCCACUUCAUGACCUAACAUAAAGUUUCAUCAGUUUACAGUUUAAUUCAUGUAUUAUUUUAUUAGUUGAUUUGUAUAUAAAUGAGAGGAACUCUCUAGAAUAAGUGAGAUUUUAUUUUGACAAUAUAAUGAGUUCUGCGAAUAAGAAAAUGGUUUGAUUUCUUCUCUCCUAAAUUCUAUGGCUUUACUUACAAUUUCUUCUUGCAUAGCUAGAUUUCUCAACCUAACAAGUUCAUAUCCGUGCACUAAAGGUGUACUAUACUUAUACUCCGUUAAAUUGUACAACACACGCACUUAACUCUUAAUAUCAAGCAUGAUAUGAUAACUUGAAAGAUAAAAUGAUAACCUACCAUAAUCGAUUAAAUUGUACUUUCGUGGAAAAUCCGUUGCACCCCAGUAUACAAAACUUAAGCUACUUGAUUAUUUGGGUAUUAUCUAAACAACAACAACAAGUACCCACUAUAGUCCCACAAGGUGGGCUCUGAGAAGGGUAAUAUGUAGACAGGCCUUGCCCUUUCGAGCUCCUACUCGAAAGGGCAGAGAGACUGUUUCCAAUCGACCCUCGGCUCCGGGAAGGAAAGGGAAAACAAAAACAGAAACAAAAGAGCAUUAGUAACUAUAGCGGAAAUCGCAUAAAUAUUUAUCUAAACAUAAGAACCAUAAAAUUUAGAUAUUAUUUAAACCAUCCGAAUUCCAAAGGCAUCACCACAUAUGUAUAUAUUGAUAUGGCUACUAAUGUAGCAUUACAAGACAGCUCAUAUUCCAUGGCAUUUUACACUAGUUUCCAGUAGAUAGCAUGUGAUCGAGUACAUAUACAUGGUUCAUGUUUUACAAUAAAUUCUGUUGCUUAUCCUGUAAUUCUCUUAAUCAUAUUUUACACGUAGAUAUGCGGCUUGAUUGGUUGCCCUGUUUCUCAAGGUUUUGGGAUAGUAAUCUGUAAAAGUCCGUCCCUGCAUUGUAAAACACUCGUGAAUUUCAGAAUUUUAAUACAAAUAUUUAUGUAAUGAAAUAUUCCAAAGAUCUUUCUUCCUGACUCAAAAUAACAGGUAAAUGAUACUAACAAGUUUUGACAACUUACACAAAUUCAGCUGAGACGCUAUCCUUGUUGGCAUUAGUUGGAAGAGGCCAGAAAACCCGAUAAGGUCCCUGAACAAUCUCCCUUUUGUGAUAAGACGAUACGGAGUCAUUCGAGUAUGUUACCACUUUCGACCAUUGUGUUGAACGAUUUCCAGAAACUAUUAAGCUGUCGAGGAAAUAACACUCAUCUAUUAGGCAAACACGAAUUCUGAAUUCAACGCUGCCUCAUUGCAGAAGAUGGAUGCUCUUUUAAGAUGAACUUUCUGUAACAUGAUCAUCCCUUAUAAUUAAGGGAUGACAUGGAGGAAAAGACUAAGUAAUGGAUAAUUGCAAGUUACUUACCUUUUAUCACUGAUUUCUACCUUUAUAUCAUUUAUAUUGACACCAGGAAGUUCUAUCGAUACCAUGUACAUGUAUCCAGAUUCUGCAACGUUCAUUCUAGGAGACCAUUCACUUCCUGUAUUAGCAAAACAAAAAGUGAAUUUUGAAACAUUCUGAAGAGGCUAUAUGUAACAGUCCAACCCACCAGUCAUAUUAUCUGCUUAGGAUUAAGACCCGCACGUCUUUAAAAUGUGUGAGUAGGGUCUAAGGUUAGUCUACUUAUAUACCCAACAUCUCUCGUGUUUUGUCGAUGUGGGAUUCAUCUAGGAUGUCACAUUGUACCCUCAGUUUCCAGAACAAAAAAGCACUACUGCAAUACAUUAUUAAUUCCAGCCAAUCAAAGCAAAGCAUCAUCUUUGUUUACC